GCUGGGUGUGGUGGAGGGCACCUGUAAUCCCAGCUACUUGGGAGGCUGAGGCAGGAGAAUCACUUGAACCUAGGAGGUGGAGGUUGCAGUGAGCCAAGAUCGAGCCACUACACUCCAGCCUGGGCAACAGAGUGAGACCCUGUCUCAA
Molecule: non-coding RNA, 148 nt
Organism: Homo sapiens (human)
Lineage: Eukaryota; Metazoa; Chordata; Mammalia; Primates; Hominidae
Rfam family: Metazoan signal recognition particle RNA
About the family: The signal recognition particle (SRP) is a universally conserved ribonucleoprotein.
Source: Rfam